RNAcentral lists this long non-coding RNA (711 nucleotides) under Homo sapiens (human). RNAcentral describes it as "non-protein coding HDAC2-AS2:80". Lineage: Eukaryota; Metazoa; Chordata; Mammalia; Primates; Hominidae. The record is from RNAcentral.
GAAUCCUGAGAAAGACGCGCUCAAAGAACCCAGCGAACAAAGGAGAGGGUUGGAGCCCACGCAAAACAUGGGUGUGAUAAAGCCACACGCGACCUGAGCCCCCACCCUCAGUAACUACUCUCCAGCGCCCACCGGGAGGAGGGGUCCGGGGAAAGGAUUGGCAUCCUCUGCUUCUGCAGAAAACAUGGCUACCAACAGCUUCUGUAUCCACCUGCGGAGGAGACUGACUGCUCUGUUAUUCCCCCAGCAUCUGUGAAGAGGCUCUGACUGGCUAAAGUGAAGGAGUCUGUAGCUUUAGGGGAAGACAGAGCCACAAGAUGGAAGGAGCUUGGAUGUCUGAACUAUUCCAUGGAGAAAAGCUGCAGCCAACGAAGAACACCUGCAAUGGACUCUUAACCUGGGGGUGACGACAACCACUGAAAUAUGCUGCAUCUUAGUCCAGGGAUUUUUAAAGUGUGGUUCCUGGAAGAGCUGGAUCAGAGUCAUCUGUGUUGAUGGUUUAACAUAAAGAUUUUCGAGCCCCAAGACUCAAGUAGGACAAGGAAUUUGAAUUUUUAAGCAGCUCACCUGACUUGUCUGUCCUCUAAUGUCUGAAGACAUCUGACCUCUGCUCUUUCAGUAAAAGCAACAAUGGUUUUAUGAGCAUUGUCGUCACAUCUCUCCACUCAAGGGAUCCUUCUCAUUUCUCCCAGCUGAGGUCACCCACAGCUG